RNAcentral lists this ribosomal RNA (520 nucleotides) under uncultured bacterium. RNAcentral's name for it is "bacterial SSU rRNA". It matches the Rfam family "Bacterial small subunit ribosomal RNA", at positions 791 to 1329 of the family's 1533-position model. The record is from RNAcentral.
UAGUCCACGCCGUAAACGAUGGGUGCUAGAUAUCGGGAGCUUGACUUUCGGUGUCGUAGUUAACGCGUUAAGCACCCCGCCUGGGGAGUACGGUCGCAAGAUUAAAACUCAAAGGAAUUGACGGGGACCCGCACAAGCGGUGGAGCAUGUGGUUUAAUUCGAUGCAACGCGAAGAACCUUACCACCCUUUGACAUCCCGAUCGCGGUUUUCAGAGAUGAGAACCUUCAGUUAGGCUGGAUCGGUGACAGGUGUUGCAUGGCUGUCGUCAGCUCGUGUCGUGAGAUGUUGGGUUAAGUCCGGCAACGAGCGCAACCCACAUCCUUAGUUGCCAGCAGUUCGGCUGGGCACUCUAGGGAAACUGCCCGUGAUAAGCGGGAGGAAGGUGUGGAUGACGUCAAGUCCUCAUGGCCCUUACGGGUUGGGCUACACACGUGCUACAAUGGCAACUACAGUGGGUUAAUCCCCAAAAGUUGUCUCAGUUCGGAUUGGGGUCUGGCAACUCGACCCCACUGAAGUCGG